RNAcentral lists this ribosomal RNA (306 nucleotides) under Triticum aestivum (bread wheat). RNAcentral describes it as "partial small subunit ribosomal RNA". Lineage: Eukaryota; Viridiplantae; Streptophyta; Magnoliopsida; Poales; Poaceae. The record is from RNAcentral.
AUGAUUCAUCGUUUAUAUAUUAGUUGGAUAGUAUCUCUUUAUUCGGUUCUUGUGACUGACCUGCUGCUUUACUUAUAUGGACAGCUUAAACUGAAAUCAAUGCAUGGUAUUGUUCAAUUCGAAGUGUACUUGACGUGUGCAGAUCUGAGGAUAAAGGGAAGAAGACGGAAUUUAGCUGAGGAGUUGAAUAGGAUCAAGGUUAUUAUUCCACAAUCAUUUGUUGGGUUUAAGGAUAUAAACAACAUGGCUUACGAGGAUUUGGACUGCUGUUCUUUUAGUUCCACUCUUAAAUCUUUUGGUUCUUGA